GAACUUACCUGGCAGGGGAGAUGCUAUGAUCACCCUGGGCGAGCCUCCUCCAUUGCUCUCCCCCUGCGAUUUCCCCAACUGUGGGAAACUGGACUGCAUAAUUUGUCGUGUUUGUAAAGUAUAUCAAGAUAAAAUCAUAU
RNAcentral lists this small nuclear RNA (140 nucleotides) under Erpetoichthys calabaricus (reedfish). RNAcentral describes it as "U1 spliceosomal RNA (ENSECRG00000018795.1)". The stretch from base 1 to 125 matches the Rfam family "U1 spliceosomal RNA". Rfam says of the family: U1 is a small nuclear RNA (snRNA) component of the spliceosome (involved in pre-mRNA splicing). Its 5' end forms complementary base pairs with the 5' splice junction, thus defining the 5' donor site of an intron. Lineage: Eukaryota; Metazoa; Chordata; Cladistia; Polypteriformes; Polypteridae. The record is from RNAcentral.